CUGACUGCUUUGAACUGCGUGAAGCGCUUUAGCCAAGCCCAGUGUGUUGGAUUUAAAUGGUCCAGUUUUGACACAUUUGCUUUGCUCAACCGAGUAUCUGCGUUAAGGUAUAACCACUCUUGGCGCAGAGCCUGUUGUUUAGAACACGAAACAAAUUGACUUCUCCUCCCCCAAGUCUUUGCCUUUUUGUAAUUUGCUCUGGCGUUGUUGUUUGUGUGUGACCAGCUCUGGGAUUUCACCUCGUCCUGGAGAGACCAGCGCAAAUCAACCCGAAUAAAACAUCCCGACCCUGUUCACCUCUCCCGGAGGGUCGUUUUCCUUCGAGACACGUGGACGAAGUCGUACACAGCAUUAGGGACCGAAGAGACGCAGCCUGUAUAGAGGGACUCAGACAGGGUGGGAGGAGAUCCCAGCAGGGUUCAUCUGCUCACCAAUGGGUUUGUGGUCUGAAGACAAGCAGCACUCAUCUCUUUCACAUCCUUUAUAGGUAUAAGCCAACACAAGGACAAAACUUUCACCAGAAGGAGCCUCGACUGACUGACUGUUCAGCGCAAUCCCGCCACACAUUCACACUCUCUACAGGAGGAAUGAAGACAGGUGAAGCUGAAGACAGG
Long non-coding RNA from Carassius auratus (goldfish), 614 nucleotides. RefSeq lists it as uncharacterized. NCBI's taxonomy places the organism in Eukaryota, Metazoa, Chordata, Actinopteri, Cypriniformes, Cyprinidae. The transcript is spliced from 5 exons. The record is from RefSeq and is a predicted model, not a curated record.